Molecule: ribosomal RNA, 94 nt
Filed under: Salmonella enterica
Lineage: Bacteria; Pseudomonadati; Pseudomonadota; Gammaproteobacteria; Enterobacterales; Enterobacteriaceae
Also listed under: 1 other name
Description: partial 16S ribosomal RNA
Rfam family: Bacterial small subunit ribosomal RNA
Source: RNAcentral
UUAAAUUGAAGAGUUUGAUCAUGGCUCAGAUUGAAUGCUGGCGGCAGGCCUAACACAUGCAAGUCGAACGGUAGCACAGAGAGCUUGCUCUCGG